GACGAACGCUGGCGGCGUGCCUAAUACAUGCAAGUCGAACGAAGCUGUUUUAACUGGUGCUUGCACCGACUUAAACAACUGAGUGGCGAACGGGUGAGUAACACGUGGGUAACCUGCCCCAAAGCGGGGGAUAACACUUGGAAACAGAUGCUAAUACCGCAUAACCACAGAAACCACAUGGUUUCUGUGUCAAAGAUGGUUUCGGCUAUCACUUUGGGAUGGACCCGCGGCGUAUUAGCUAGUUGGUAAGGUAAUGGCUUACCAAGGCAAUGAUACGUAGCCGAACUGAGAGGUUGAUCGGCCACAUUGGGACUGAGACACGGCCCAAACUCCUACGGGAGGCAGCAGUAGGGAAUCUUCCACAAUGGACGAAAGUCUGGUGGAGCAACGCCGCGUGAGUGAAGAAGGUUUUCGGAUCGUAAAACUCUGUUGUCAGAGAAGAACGUGUGCGAGAGUAACUGCUCGUGCAGUGACGGUAUCUGGCCAGAAAGCCACGGCUAACUACGUGCCAGCCGCCGCGGUAA
This 524-nucleotide ribosomal RNA is filed under the name uncultured bacterium. RNAcentral describes it as "partial 16S ribosomal RNA". It matches the Rfam family "Bacterial small subunit ribosomal RNA", at positions 28 to 523 of the family's 1533-position model. The record is from RNAcentral.